AUUGAACGCUGGCGGCAUGCUUUACACAUGCAAGUCGAACGGUAACAGGCCUUCGGGUGCUGACGAGUGGCGAACGGGUGAGUAAUGCAUCGGAACGUGCCCAGAGGUGGGGGAUAACGCAGCGAAAGCUGUGCUAAUACCGCAUGUGAUCUGAGGAUGAAAGCGGGGGACCAGGCAGCAAUGUUUGGCCUCGCGCCUUUGGAGCGGCCGAUGUCAGAUUAGGUAGUUGGUGGGGUAAGGCCUACCAAGCCGACGAUCUGUAGCUGGUCUGAGAGGACGACCAGCCACACUGGGACUGAGACACGGCCCAGACUCCUACGGGAGGCAGCAGUGGGGAAUUUUGGACAAUGGGCGCAAGCCUGAUCCAGCAAUGCCGCGUGCGGGAAGAAGGCCUUCGGGUUGUAAACCGCUUUUGUACGGAACGAAAAGGCUCUGGCUAAUACCUGGGGCUGAUGACGGUACCGUAAGAAUAAGCACCGGCUAACUACGUG
RNAcentral lists this ribosomal RNA (491 nucleotides) under uncultured bacterium. RNAcentral describes it as "partial 16S ribosomal RNA". It matches the Rfam family "Bacterial small subunit ribosomal RNA", at positions 30 to 507 of the family's 1533-position model. The record is from RNAcentral.